UACAGAGGGGGCAAGCGUUGUUCGGAAUUACUGGGCGUAAAGGGCGCGUAGGCGGCCUGUUAAGUCGAACGUGAAAUCCCUGGGCUCAACCCAGGAACUGCGUCCGAUACUGGCAGGCUUGAAUCCGGGAGAGGGAUGUGGAAUUCCAGGUGUAGCGGUGAAAUGCGUAGAUAUCGGGAGGAACACCAGUGGCGAAGGCGGCUUUCUGGCCUGUUCUUGACGCUGAGGCGCGAAAGCUAGGGGAGCGAACGGG
Molecule: ribosomal RNA, 253 nt
Filed under: uncultured bacterium
Lineage: Bacteria
Description: partial 16S ribosomal RNA
Rfam family: Bacterial small subunit ribosomal RNA
Source: RNAcentral